Molecule: small RNA, 157 nt
Filed under: Dielma fastidiosa
Lineage: Bacteria; Bacillati; Bacillota; Erysipelotrichia; Erysipelotrichales; Erysipelotrichaceae
Description: 6S / SsrS RNA
Rfam family: 6S / SsrS RNA (bases 25-133)
About the family: E. coli 6S RNA was the first non coding RNA to be sequenced, but its function was unknown until recently. It consists of 184 nucleotides that fold into an extended hairpin structure with a large single-stranded internal bulge. The 6S RNA specifically associates with RNA polymerase holoenzyme containing the sigma70 specificity factor.
Source: RNAcentral
AUUAUCCAAAAGGUAUAAAAUUUUUCCUACAAGUUGAGAUAAGGGAAUCCGGACGUUGUAUUUUGGUGUGAAUGCCUGCACGAGUGCAGGAAUCCUAAAAACUUACACAGGAUGCCCACCUGUAUAUACAGGGAAAAGGUCUCACCUUUUGGUGGCA